RNAcentral lists this signal recognition particle RNA (298 nucleotides) under Cyphomyrmex costatus. RNAcentral describes it as "Metazoan signal recognition particle RNA". It matches the Rfam family "Metazoan signal recognition particle RNA". Rfam says of the family: The signal recognition particle (SRP) is a universally conserved ribonucleoprotein. It is involved in the co-translational targeting of proteins to membranes. Lineage: Eukaryota; Metazoa; Arthropoda; Insecta; Hymenoptera; Formicidae. The record is from Rfam by way of RNAcentral.
GCUGGGAGUGUGGCGGCUCCUGUAAUCCGGCUACUCGGAGGCUGGUUAUGUUGGAGGGUCUGAGGUCGGGGGUAACUGUUGGUGCGGGGUUCACGUUGACUGGGCGUCCGCACUAAGCUCGCCAUCAAUAUGGACACCCUGGAGAAGUCCGGGGUGGCCAGGUUAGCUAAGGAGAGGCGAACCGGGCCAGAGGGGGCAACCAAGCAGCCAAAAGUCUCCGUGGCGGGCAGUAGUGGGAUCGCGCCCGGGAGUGGGACCGCAUUGACAGCCUGGUUGAUAUGAUCCAACACAUAACUUU